This 330-nucleotide ribosomal RNA is filed under the name Triticum aestivum (bread wheat). Its description in RNAcentral is "partial small subunit ribosomal RNA". Lineage: Eukaryota; Viridiplantae; Streptophyta; Magnoliopsida; Poales; Poaceae. The record is from RNAcentral.
AUGAGGAUCCAAUUCCAACCAAAGCAAUCUAACGGGGAAGGGAGACGGUGGAGAUGCAGAGGCCCAGGCCACGAUGCGCACCUUGGCCUCCUCGAUCAGAUAGUCAAUACUCCCUGUCGCCUCCGCUCCAUGGCUCGGCCACUCAUCACAAGUGGUGGAGGAAGAUGCCCACAGUGGUCAGCCCGUCCUGGCUGUGCAAGCGGCCCCGGAUCCGGGAGUGGUCCAACCUGUGCAUGGCGCUGCUACUCCUUUCCGCCGGGUUGUGGAUCCCAGCGGCAUCAAGGUAGGAGAAGAGCUAUGCACAACCGCGUCGCUCGUGAUGAUACAUGA